UAAAAGCAAAGCAAUUAACAUGAAAUCAAAACUGAAUACAAACUAAAUAUAUGGAAAACACAAAGCCAAAUAAAUGGAUAAACAAGCCUAUCUAUUCUGAUACAUACAUUGGAUAGAUGCCAUGAGUAUAUUAACCGUUCGAUAACUCAGCAUCAGAAGUUCUCUCUGUGAUACCAAGAGAAAAAUCACCUGAGGAAAGAAUAAGAACCUGGAAGUCGUGAGGAUAAGUGAUGGAAACAUUCUUGAGGCUCGGAAUCUGAAAACACAAGGAGUUUGGACCUGGAUACUAAUUUAACCCAGUUGACCUAUAUAGUAUCUCUGAACAAUCCAAACUGCUGGACAGAAUACAAAGAGAAGAACAGGCAGUCUUCAUACAGGUCAUGAUCCGGAUAGCAGUCUCCAGGUUGCUGGGAAUCCUAUGGCAAUUUGACUGUCAUCUUACAUUGAGAAGCCUACUCAUCUUGCUCUGCUAUGGACUUUUAUAAAAGUUAUGUCAUUGUAGCAGCUUGGGGAGUGUGGGAAGGAGAAGGAAUGGGAGAACUUUUUAUUUGAGCCAGAUUCUGUGAUUUUAUAUGGUGGAUCUUCUGUAAGACAGGCUUACAGAACUCCAUCCACAGAAUCAACAGUACAUGUGUAGAUGUCCAGGAGUGAGAUCAACAAGCCAGACACAGUUUUUUCAGCCUUUGAUAUAUAACAGAUGCAAUGUCACCAGUGGCCCUAAAGGUACCCUUACAGCUGUAAAAAUUAGUCAGAUAAUUUGGCUCUGAGAGUACUUGUGUACAAAAUAGCAAUGCAGUCAGUAAACACAUAUUGGAGUUUUCCCUUUCAGUCCCCAAAGGUUCUGCAAGCAGUUUAUGUCUUUUCAGCUGGAAUCACCCUGAGUUUUGCUAUGGAAAC
Molecule: long non-coding RNA, 897 nt
Organism: Tyto alba (common barn owl)
Lineage: Eukaryota; Metazoa; Chordata; Aves; Strigiformes; Tytonidae
Exons: 4
Source: RefSeq, a predicted model, not a curated record